GAUGAACGCUGGCGGCGUGCCUAAUACAUGCAAGUCGAGCGAACGGACGAGAAGCUUGCUUCUGUGAUGUUAGCGGCGGACGGGUGAGUAACACGUGGAUAACCUACCUAUAAGACUGGGAUGACUUCGGGAAACCGGAGCUAAUACCGGAUAAUAUUUUGAACCGCUUGGUUCAAAAGUGAAAGACGGUCUUGCUGUCACUGAGAGAUGGAUCCGCGCUGCAUUAGCUAGUUGGUAAGGUAACGGCUUACCAAGGCAACGAUGCAUAGCCGACCUGAGAGGGUGAUCGACCACACUGGAACUGAGACACGGUCCAGACUCCUACGAGAGGCAGCAGUAGGGAAUAUUCCGCAAUGGGGGAAAGCCUGACGGAGCAACGACGCGUGAGUGAUGAAGGUCUUCGGAUCGUAAAACUCUGUUAUUAGGGAAGAACAUAUGUGUAAGUGACUGUGCACAUCUUGACGGUACCUAAUCAGAAAGCCACGGCUAACUACGUG
Molecule: ribosomal RNA, 497 nt
Filed under: uncultured bacterium
Lineage: Bacteria
Description: partial 16S ribosomal RNA
Rfam family: Bacterial small subunit ribosomal RNA
Source: RNAcentral